CAAAUUAUAGCUCAAAGGGAGCGUUGUUAUUUACAUUAAUAAUCUAGUUGUGCAAUUCAACUUAAUUUGA
This 70-nucleotide transfer RNA is filed under the name Canthesancus helluo. Its description in RNAcentral is "tRNA-Val". Lineage: Eukaryota; Metazoa; Arthropoda; Insecta; Hemiptera; Reduviidae. The record is from RNAcentral.